ACAUAUAUAUAUAUAUGUAUGUAUGUGUGUGUGUGUGUGUGUGUGUGUGUGUGUGUGUACACUGCCCUCACAAAUCUCCACAACUGUUGAAAAUAAA
This 97-nucleotide microRNA precursor is filed under the name Poecilia formosa (Amazon molly). RNAcentral describes it as "miRNA (ENSPFOG00000021658.1)". The record is from RNAcentral. Lineage: Eukaryota; Metazoa; Chordata; Actinopteri; Cyprinodontiformes; Poeciliidae.